GUACCCCUUUUGGGAGGUAAACAAAAUAACCUCUGCCCUCAUUUCACUUUAAAAGAUGAACACUAAGUUGAAUUAAAACAAUAUAUUUAUCGAGUACAAUAAAGUAGGUUGUGACGGACAAACUGUAGUCCCGGUUAACGGCACUCAGCGGUCACAACGGUAACUCAGCUGGGACUCGCAAGGUUCCAGAUCAUCCAUAUGAGAGGUUUCAACGUCAAAUUGAGCAGAUCCACAGAGGGGACUCUAAUGAAAACAGCUCCCAGUUUUCCCAGAGUCCAUCAGAUGGAAGGACGCCUGAGGAUUGUCAGCCUGUCUCCACACGUCGCUGCCCCGAGUGGAUCAAAAAGGAGAUGAAGAGGGUCUACAAAAGAGUUGCCAUCCUCUCCGGAAUCCAGUAAAGUCCGGGUGAGUUGUUGGUGCUACAAAAUGUUUUAACCUAUAAUUGGAGAGUUUAUCUGGUUGGGAAGCAUCAUUUUACUCUCAAGAGACACCUGGCAAAGACACAUCAGCAAUAUGACAUUAAGGUAAAGUCAGGAAUUCAUACAAAGAUAAUUAUAGGGCAACUGUUCAGCGUCAAUCAACUCAUUUAUAAAGUGUUUACUAACUUAUUU
Long non-coding RNA from Eleginops maclovinus (Patagonian blennie), 611 nucleotides. RefSeq lists it as uncharacterized. The transcript is spliced from 4 exons. Lineage: Eukaryota; Metazoa; Chordata; Actinopteri; Perciformes; Eleginopidae. The record is from RefSeq and is a predicted model, not a curated record.